Molecule: ribosomal RNA, 279 nt
Filed under: uncultured Glomus
Lineage: Eukaryota; Fungi; Glomeromycota; Glomeromycetes; Glomerales; Glomeraceae
Description: partial 18S small subunit ribosomal RNA
Rfam family: Eukaryotic small subunit ribosomal RNA
Source: RNAcentral
CCAAUAGCGUAUAUUAAAGUUGUUGCAGUUAAAAAGCUCGUAGUUGAAUUUCGGGGUUAGUAGGUUGGUCAUGCCUCUGGUAUGUACUGGUCUCACUGAUUCCUCCUUCCUUAUGAACCGUAAUGCCAUUAAUUUGGUGUUGCGGGGAAUUUGGACUGUUACUUUGAAAAAAUUAGAGUGUUUAAAGCAAGCUAACGCUUGAAUACAUUAGCAUGGAAUAAUGAAAUAGGACGUUCGAUCUUAUUUUGUUGGUUUCUAGGAUUGACGUAAUGAUUAAUA